GCCAUCUUUAUAACCCAGCCGGCACACGACCGACCUUCAACGUUGAAAUAUGGUUGAAAUAAGGUCAGAUGUGUUUUGAACGUUGAAAUAAUGUUGAUAGAACGUUUAAUGUUGAACGGUUGAAAAACAGCCUGCAUAUGACAAGGCUUCAACGUUGAAAUGUGGUUGAAAAUACGUCAGUUGUUGCUAUAAUGUUGAAACGAUGUUGAAUGAUAAAUGGUUGAAAAAAGUUACAGAAAUCCUUGUACAAAUCAACGUUGACAUUUUUUUAUCAUGGUCUGUAUGUUGAAUUAACGUCAUGGCUUCACCCAAUAUUCAACAUGUUUGGUUACCAUGGUAUCGGAGGACUCGGCGCACGCGGCCACGCGCAGCGCUUCACUUCACUUAAUUACGAACACCUGACCUGCAGUGCAGCAGAAUUCAGAGACAUGUAACUUACUCCAGAGACUCACUAACUUGCACAGCAUUGAAUGGAAAAGGCUUUGUCCAUGUCCAGUUGAGGGGCAUCAAGAACACGCAGAUAGCCUACCUGGACAGACUGCAGUUCUGCUACUCCAUGCCAAGGCUUUUGUAUGGAUGUCUGACUACUACUGUGUUCUCUAAAGGUUUUCUGGAAGCUCCAGUUGAGGGCGUCAAGGACAAACCGAUGGCCUAAACAAGUGUCAGCCUGGACAGACAGACAGACAUCUAUUGCAGUUCUGCUACACAAGACCAAACUCUCUGCUUUUGUAUGGAUGUCUGACUAGUACGGUGUUCUCUGAAGGUAUUACUGGAGCAAAACGACAGCACCCGUUACAGUGAAAUUUGUGUUCAUUAAAGAUAGUGAUAUGUGUAACAGGUCCAGUAAAUUUGUCAUAAAGGUUAAAUCACAGUAAGUACUGUAAAAAUAACUUGUUUGCCUUUGCCACAACAGGUCAUGGUGUGUGCUUACUGCUUGUAGUAAACACACACGCUGAUCUGAUGCGGGAGAGAUAUACGCAAACACAUUUGUAAUUACUGUUUUGUUUUGCCUCACUCAAGUGUUGUUGGAGCUUGGUAUGUUCACAGUUGAAAUCACUGAAGUCACAUGGAACGUUUUGACAAUGUGUUUGUGCCUUAUCUGGACAACAACCAUCUUGGGACCAUUGCUGUCUGUAGAGGAUGAGGAGCAUUUAAUCUAAAAUAUUUUAGUUUGUGUUCUGAAGAUUAACAGGUCUCUG
Danio rerio (zebrafish) is the source of this 1199-nucleotide non-coding RNA. The record is from Ensembl. Lineage: Eukaryota; Metazoa; Chordata; Actinopteri; Cypriniformes; Danionidae.